AUUGAACGCUGGCGGCAGGCUUAACACAUGCAAGUCGAGCGGGGAAGGGUAGCUUGCUACCUGACCUAGCGGCGGACGGGUGAGUAAUGCUUAGGAAUCUGCCUAUUAGUGGGGGACAACAUUCCGAAAGGAAUGCUAAUACCGCAUACGCCCUACGGGGGAAAGCAGGGGAUCUUCGGACCUUGCGCUAAUAGAUGAGCCUAAGUCAGAUUAGCUAGUUGGUGGGGUAAAGGCCUACCAAGGCGACGAUCUGUAGCGGGUCUGAGAGGAUGAUCCGCCACACUGGGACUGAGACACGGCCCAGACUCCUACGGGAGGCAGCAGUGGGGAAUAUUGGACAAUGGGCGCAAGCCUGAUCCAGCCAUGCCGCGUGUGUGAAGAAGGCCUUUUGGUUGCAAAGCACUUUAAGCGAGGAGGAGGCUACUUGGAUUAAUACUCUAGGAUAGUGGACGUUACUCGCAGAAUAAGCACCGGCUAACUCUGUGCCAGCAGCCGCGGUAAUACAGAGGGUGCGAGCGUUAAUCGGAUUUACUGGGCGUAAAGCGUGCGUAGGCGGCUUUUUAAGUCGGAUGUGAAAUCCCUGAGCUUAACUUAGGAAUUGCAUUCGAUACUGGGAAGCUAGAGUAUGGGAGAGGAUGGUAGAAUUCCAGGUGUAGCGGUGAAAUGUGUAGAGAUCUGGAGGAAUACCGAUGGCGAAGGCAGCCAUCUGGCCUAAUACUGACGCUGAGGUACGAAAGCAUGGGGAGCAAACAGG
Molecule: ribosomal RNA, 754 nt
Filed under: Acinetobacter johnsonii
Lineage: Bacteria; Pseudomonadati; Pseudomonadota; Gammaproteobacteria; Moraxellales; Moraxellaceae
Description: bacterial SSU rRNA
Rfam family: Bacterial small subunit ribosomal RNA
Source: RNAcentral